GCUUGACUGUAACUGGAAUGGGGUUCCGGUUGGCAUGCGCAGGAUAGGUGGAGGCAGAAGGUUCCUUCGGGGGAGCCAAGCCAUUCUUGGAAUACCACCCUUUGAUCAGGCGGAGCUAACCCUCACCCGUGCGCGGGAGGGGACAGUCUUCAGCGGCAGUUUGACUGGGCGUCGCCUCCUAAAAGGUAACGGAGGCGCGCAAGGUCCCUCAGCUGGUUGGAAAUCAGCCAGAGAGUGUAAAGCACAAGGGAGCUUGACUGCAAGAGCUACACCUCGAGCAGGGACGAAAGUCGGCCUUAGUGAUCCGACGCACUGAGUGGAAGGCCGUCGCUCACGGAUAAAAGUUA
This 347-nucleotide ribosomal RNA is filed under the name uncultured alga. Its description in RNAcentral is "bacterial LSU rRNA". It matches the Rfam family "Bacterial large subunit ribosomal RNA", at positions 2098 to 2465 of the family's 2925-position model. The record is from RNAcentral.